This is a non-coding RNA of Rattus norvegicus (Norway rat), 2472 nucleotides long. The record is from RefSeq and is a predicted model, not a curated record. Lineage: Eukaryota; Metazoa; Chordata; Mammalia; Rodentia; Muridae.
UCCAUUAGUCCACCGCUGUCUCUUACUCUAAAGUUAGCACCACUCUUCCUUUGCCCUGAUUGAUUGUACAAUGUGGACUAGUGUUGGACAGGACUAACCUCCAAAACAAACAACUGCCAUCUUUAGGAGUAUAAACCUGCUUCCCUGCAAAAGAUUAAUACAGCUGGGCUUGUUGAUUGAUGGCGUUCCCUCAUUGAAAUGAGCAAAUGGAUCCUCAAAGAAGCUUUACAGCUGAUCCAGUAGUACAAUCAACAAGAGGGAGUGGAAGCGUCUCCCCCUGCUUUGUCUCUUUCCCAUGCCUCUGCCACCUUGGUGCAAUGAUCUAGCUGCUUGGCAGGAAGGUCUUAUUAUUCCUUGAUGGUGGAGAACAAAAUACAAUGGGUCAUAGAGGAGCUCUUGGUUGAGUAGAGAUAAGAUGUAAGUCCUAGCUUGUUUAUAGGUCACAUGAUUGGGAUCUGCAGGAUCUACAGCAGUCAGAAUACCUGAGGUCCAUCCCAUUUUGUCUGCAGAAUAUUGUGCGCAGAGAUGUGGAGUCCCUUGCUCAAAAUCAAAGGGCUCUAAGGCAGCUCAGUUGUAUCAAGUCGAUCCACAGUUUCCAAAAUCAGAGGUAUGGCCUUCAGAAAAGACUGCAAAAUGAUGGAGUGCACCGAAGGCAAAUGGAAGCUAUAAUGGGAAGGCAUUUUGGAGCAGAGUCCAAAUGCAAAUUGGUUGUUACGGAAACUAUUCAGAUCCAUCUGGUGCCUGCAUGUGAUGAAUACUGGAAAUCUGAUCAAUGGAUAUGCGUUUUGGCAAUGGUAAAGGAACGUAAAACAGGACAAGUCAGGCCACCAGAGUGUGGGUGUUGGACACAGCCCUUCUUGCAAAUGUGUAUCCAAUACUCACACCAUGUUGUCAUCAGGGCGGAAGGAAAGCAGACCUUUAGUGUGAAAUAAGGUGUGACUAUCAAAGACAGUAACUACAUUGCAUAACAGAAACAGGAAAUGCCUCUGCUUGCUGACUUCCAGAUUGUCUGUCUAUAUUGAUUUAUUCAUUCAUUCUACCUACAUCUGUUCCUAAGCACAGGCACCUGGGGUAUAUGAGUGUAGAACCACAGUCUAGCUCUGAAGAGGUGCACAGACUUCAAACUCCGUGGGAAUAUUUUCUUUCUGUAACGGCCUUCUUCAAUGAAGGAAACUCAAGAUAAGGACAGUGUACUUGAUAAUAACUAAGAUGUGUCAACUAUUACCCUUGUGUUCGCUGCUUACUCGCCAGCCACUAUUUCAUGUAAUUUGCAUAUAUUGUCUCACCGACGUCUCAUAAAUACGCUAUCAAGUGAGUAUAGCUAUUUAUAUUUCACAAUGGAAAAGAAUAAGGCAGAGAGAGGUUAUAUAUUUUAUUCAACAGCAUUCAGAAUAUGACAAAGUUUGGCUGGGAGACCAAGAAAUCUAGCUUUAGAAGCCCAAUCCUCAACGAUUUUGCCAUGUUUUCCGUCUAAAAGAUAAUGCGAAAUUUUAGACAGAAAAACCACACUAUGUGCCACCCAGGUAGGAUAGGGUGUCACUAGGUAGUGAAACAGGAAUACUUUGCUGGGGAGAAGUCCCUCCCAGAGCUAAAUCCUGAAGAAUUCUGUUUGGAGAACUUGGCAUCAGGGCAGCCAGCAAAUGAGGCAUCUCAUCAGCCCAAGAUGUUGUUUUAUCUCUUUUACAUCUAUUUUAUUUAUUUAUUUAUUUAUUUAUUUAUUUAUUUAUUUAUUUAUUGUGGGUAGAGAGAAAAGCAGUUUUGAAGAAACCAACAGGGUCCCAUGAGAAGGUUUCCUUUCUCUAAAGGCCUUCUUAAAUGAAAUGCAGGACUCACUUGUAAUUGGUUUGAUUACCUUGCAUCUAAAAGAACAUUUUAAUUAAUAGUUAAAAAGAAAAAAGAGGGGCUGGGGAUUUAGCUCAGUGGUAGAGCGCUUACCUAGGAAGCGCAAGGCCCUGGGUUCGGUCCCCAGCUCCGAAAAAAAGAACCAAAAAAAAAAAAAAAAAAAAGAAAAAAGAAAAAAGAAUACAGGCUUAGAAUGCACUUGGGUCAUUUAAAGUCCUGGGUAUCCCAUUGAGAAAACCUUUAAAAUACCGUCAACAUCUCCCAUGCAUUCGUUCUAUGUGGUCUCCGAGAGGAAAUAAAUAUGCCAAGUUUUCAUGAUUGAAAUAUUCAAUCUGAUAACACCAGGGUGGAAAUAACGAGGCCCUGAGAGGAUGUGUUUUAUCAAGUAGAAAAUAAUGCUAAAGGCACUCUUAAGGAUGUAAAAGUGAAUGAGAAAAAAUACUGACUUCCUGCCAAAGACGGGAUUAUUCCAGCUCAGAAGAAGAAAUUAAAUAAAGGACACCUGUUGGCAGUUUAAUGCUAAUAUGAAUUCUGUUUUCAGGAUGGAAAUUAUGCAUCAACAAAAAUAUAAAUAUAAUUUUUUCACAGCUGUGUAAGUGAAAAAAACAUAUGUUGAGAAAUUAGAGAUGA